CCCUUAGAUGUCCUGGGCCGCACGCGCGCUACACUGAUGCAUUCAACGAGUUUUACCUUGGCCGAGAGGCCUGGGCAAUCUUUUAAACCUGCAUCGUGAUAGGGAUAGAUUAUUGCAAUUAUUAAUCUUGAACGAGGAACUCCUAGUAAACGCAAAUCAUCAAUUUGCAUUGAUUACGUCCCUGCCCUUUGUACACACCGCCCGUCGCACCUACCGAUUGAAUGGUCCGGUGAAGCCUCGGGAUUGUGGCCAGUUCACUUUAUUGGGAGUUGGCUGUGAGAACUUGUCUAAACCUUAUCAUUUAGAGGAAGGUGAAGUCGUAACA
This 325-nucleotide ribosomal RNA is filed under the name uncultured eukaryote. RNAcentral describes it as "partial 18S ribosomal RNA". It matches the Rfam family "Eukaryotic small subunit ribosomal RNA", at positions 1470 to 1796 of the family's 1831-position model. The record is from RNAcentral.